GGUACUGCUAUGGAACCAACAGCAAGGGCAACAUUCGAGAAAAAAUUGGUGCCAAAGUAACCCAGGUUGGCGUUGUGAUUCACCCCUGUCAGCCAUGGCUUUGUGCAAGUCCCGAUGGCCUUUUCCAAACAACCAGUGGUGUCGUUUUGCUUGAAAUCAAGUGCCCCUACAGUCGUAAAGAUGACAUAAUCAUAGAUCAUGCUCUGUGCGAAAGCUACGUUAGCUAUGUGACAUAUCAUGAUGGAAUGCUUCAGUUGCCUCGCAGCCACCCAUAUUAUUCACAGGUUCAGGUUGCCAUGUAUGUCACUAACACUACAGAAUGUUUCUUUUUUGUUUAUACAAGCAAGCAAGAUAUUACUAUAGUUGUUGACAGAGAUGAAGACUUCCUUGCUCGAAACAUUCCUCGGUUGGAGGCGUUUUAUUAUUCAUACUACAUUAAGCAGCUCCUGCGUUAGACCAGAUUCCUGCUUGCAGGAAGUAAGUUUGCUCUUAAAGGUACAUACAGCUGCUCAGCACAUGAAAUCAGAUAACCCUGCUUAUGGAAUGAUUCCCUAUCAUAGUGGCUAAAACAAGCCAUGUUUCUCUCAUUAAAUUUGGAAAUUUACUUUUUUAACCUAUCACUAAAAGUCGCGAAAAAUGACCUUUCGCGCACCACAUGGCACACACAUGAAGCUGCAUAAGAGCUCUGCCACGUGACCUUCUACUAGUGUACGCGGUUACUGGUCUUUUUAUUAGUACUGAAAUGCAGUAUACUUCCUAUUACGUGUUUUUCCUGACUUACAGUGUGCAGAUUUACUGAUUACAGUGUGCAGAGUUGGCCCACUUGUGGCAUAGUUGAUGUCAUAUUGUAUCUCAUAGGGGGGACCACAGAACUUGGGUUACUUGCAUGCAAAUUCGCGUGUGUACAAAAGCAUCUAUGUGUACCAUUAUGCAUGCCUUUUUUACCUUGUAGUACUCACAGAUUAAAGUGCCUGUGGUUUUCAGGCAGGUAAAGCACAAAUAAAAAACAGACAGCGGAAAGAAUGACAAAAUACAUUGUUAUUGCCAUACAUGCCUUACCAAAACGUGUUACUGUCUCGACCUUCCACUGUACCAGCUAGCUUGGAUACAGACCCUAGGUCUGUGUAAUAUAAAGGCUGAUUUGUAAAUUAUGCUGCACUUAUUAACAGCUCAAUUACCUACAGUAUGUUAGUAUCAAGGUUUCACUUCCAGUGAGUGACAAAGUGUUUUUCGAUUUCUGUGCCAAUUUAAAAUUAUAAUAGCUACUUAAAACAUGUACAGCAUCCUUGUUUCUAUCAAUAUAAAUCAUCGUCUUUUCCUUUGCACCAUUUCAUGACACAUUUUUUGCACUUGUUGGCCCUUUAAGGAAGUUGCUAGAGUGUUAAACACUGUUGAGCUACCUGAUGGCAAAAGCUGGUUUUAGUCUGAAAUCUUCCUCUGAAAUUGCCUGGCUUUCAGGAACUUGCAAGUGAACAGCAAUGCUUUAUUACCACCAAUUUCUUUGCUUAUUGUCGCUUUAUAACUGCAACAUGAAAGACUGCAUCAAAAAGAUCCCGAACGUCUGCCAUGGCUUUUACAUGUCCAUUCUGUCACUGAAGGAGUUGCAGUGAUUCUUUCAGUUGUAUCUGUAAGCUUGCACUGUAUUUCCUUAUUGAGAGCCUCUGCUGUUGCACAGUUGAGGCUAGUUCACAGUUGCAGUGUUUAAGCCAUUUUUGAUGCCUGUAGUGAAUGUAGCCUUGAGGCACUGUCGACCUGAUCACGUCUCCUUUAAUUUUAAUUGAUGUCUCCCAUGUUUUUGUGUGUGUUUGUAUGGUGGUUGAGAGCCACACCAUAGCUUCUUAGAUAUGUUUGCAAAUUUGUUCAGCCUAGUGCUGUCCCCUUGCUUUACAAUUUCUCAUCCAAGUUUAUAAUUUCAGAGUCGCAGAUAAAGCUGCUAGCUUUCCUGGUGACCUGGGCACUACUAUGUUAGCUGGCUAAAAUAUCACUGCUAUGAGCAGUUUCUUCAGUGUCAUACUGCGCUUAAUGUUCUAAAAAUAAAGCAUAGUAAUUUA
This is a non-coding RNA of Dermacentor albipictus, 2051 nucleotides long. Lineage: Eukaryota; Metazoa; Arthropoda; Arachnida; Ixodida; Ixodidae. The record is from RefSeq and is a predicted model, not a curated record.